GACUGUGGGAAAAGUUGUAGUAGUUAAAAUGAGUGAGAGAAGAUUGUAGUAAACAGAGACAAAACAGAGAAGAACAGUAGAGGGAGGCAUCUUCACUGAGACAUGUGCCAUCUAUUCAAAAGGAGCAAGGUUGAGAAUCAGGGUGAAGAAGUUGUAGAAGAUUAAAGAUGAUGAGCAAGCUAAGCAGGGACCGGAGGAGGCUCGUGUUAGCAGCGCACCGUAACAUCAAGUCCGGGCUAGCAGCGCAGCCAUAUGGUCUGUGAGCGCAGCACAAACUAAAGCUAGCUGUAGCAACAGCAGCGCAUGGUGGAUUUAUCAGCUGUCUGACCAGGUGUUGCGCGGGGCAAUCAACGAAGAUGCUCGCGCCGAUAGUGGAAAUAUCCAGCCUCAGCCUGUGAUAUGGUUUGGGCGGUAUGGUGGGGAAAAGUUUACCGAGAGUGGAUCACCCAUUCACCAUCCACAGCAGAUGACUUUUAAAUAUUACAUGGAGUAAUGGAGCAGGAAGGAGUGGCCACAGUGAGCUGCAGGCAACAGACUCCACACCUCCAACUUCUCAGCAAGAAACCCAGAGAGACGACCACAUCAGUCAAUCAAUUCAUUCAUUUGCACCUAACAAUCACCCCUGCUCCUGUCUUUGAAGUCUGAUAAUUCACCUUAAACAAGAAAUCGGCCACAACUCCACAAGAGAAAUCCAUUGUACAUGCAUAUGGAACAGGCAAGUAUGAGAUCAUGAUGGACAAACGUCGCUCUCAUAAGAGCAGUCCAUCGCUCAUUGCUUGUCGCUUAGCAACAGAGACCUGGCGGGCAGACAGUUAGUGUGUGAGACAGAGUGUGUGGGAGGGGAGGUUUGGAGGACGGGGGUAGAGAGAAGGACAGAAGCAGAGCAGCAGGGAGAAAAAGACAGAGGCAGGCUGAGAGAGAGAAAGACAGAGAGGAGAUGUAAUGCAAGACGCAUGUGGGGGAU
Molecule: long non-coding RNA, 964 nt
Organism: Micropterus dolomieu (smallmouth bass)
Lineage: Eukaryota; Metazoa; Chordata; Actinopteri; Centrarchiformes; Centrarchidae
Exons: 4
Source: RefSeq, a predicted model, not a curated record